This 205-nucleotide ribosomal RNA is filed under the name uncultured bacterium. Its description in RNAcentral is "partial 16S ribosomal RNA". It matches the Rfam family "Bacterial small subunit ribosomal RNA", at positions 524 to 728 of the family's 1533-position model. The record is from RNAcentral.
UACGUAGGGUGCAAGCGUUAAUCGGAAUUACUGGGCGUAAAGCGUGCGCAGGCGGUUUUGUAAGUCUGUCGUGAAAGCCCCGGGCUCAACCUGGGAAUUGCGAUGGAGACUGCAAGGCUUGAAUCUGGCAGAGGGGGGUAGAAUUCCACGUGUAGCAGUGAAAUGCGUAGAGAUGUGGAGGAACACCGAUGGCGAAGGCAGCACC